GCAAUAAUUAUUGGAAAAUUCUUUAUAUUCAGUUGAAAUUGUAUCUUAGUCCUGCCUCACUCCAGGAGUAGCACAAAAUGGCUUUGAUUGUCCUCUGCCGCUGUUUUGUAAUUGCUCUGUUUCAAGUUUGAGAUCUACUGGUUCUUCCAAUAAAGUUCAACAAGAUUGCAAAAUAAAAACUAGAGCCAGCCAACCAUCAAAACAACAUGAGGCAGAGACUCAGGGAUUCAAGUAACCUGCAAUGGAUGCCUAUGGGUUCCCAGUGCCCACAGGUUCAGCCUUUGUCACUGGAGCAGAGCCAAUUCGGUGUCAUUGUAAUGCAAAGCUUUGUUCCGCUCUGAAGACUUCACGAAUAAAGGAUAAAGGUAACAGUAUCAGAAAAGGACAGACUGCCCUGUUGUGGAUGAACAUUUAUUCGUGGAUAAUUGCUAUAUACAGCUGUACUGAGGCUGAUUACUGGAGCUCUCACUUCCCACUUCAUCCAUGCUGGCAGGCCUGGAGACUAUUUACUACAUAUGAAAAUAAAAACAUCGCUUAUUCAAUGAUUAUCAAAUGGAUACAAGGUGUUAUCUCUCUCCAGAUCUACUAUAUGAGCACUGUGAAAUAA
This 607-nucleotide long non-coding RNA is filed under the name Mustela putorius furo (domestic ferret). Its description in RNAcentral is "lncRNA (ENSMPUG00000025366.1)". Lineage: Eukaryota; Metazoa; Chordata; Mammalia; Carnivora; Mustelidae. The record is from RNAcentral.